GCGGCGGGGCGGGGGGAGGCUGCUUGGUCUCCCCCCCCCCCCCCAGUGUGGGGCAGCCGCCUUGCUUCAGGGGGCGCGACCUGGUCUUCCGACUUGUACUACAUGUUGCCUCGGGAGCAGAAUGAUGGGCUUUCUAGUCCUCCCUACUUGGGAAGAGCCUGAUUUGGCAAGACGCGGGAAACCCCCCCCCCCAGCCUGCUGAAGCCUUCGGAGCGUCUACGAUUAGAUGAAUAAUGAAAGUAUACGUGGAUCGGGAACUCAUCAAAUUUGCAGACAAGACCAAGCUGGAAGGAAUAACCAACAUUCCAGACGAUAGGUUUAAGACACAGAUCUUGAAGACCUGAACAGUAAGGUUGUACAUUUAGGGGUUCCCUGAUGUCCAAAGAUUAUUUCAAGAGUUCUUCCUGGUAAAAAUAUUACAGAUGUCUUAAAGGUGCUUCUUGGUCUUCAUUUAUGAAUUAAGGUAUAAAUCAGGGCAACAGGAAAAUAAAGGAAGAAAAGUCCAGCGUCUUUGGGUGGCGCCCAGCAUUAAUGUUAUGUAAACAGUGAGAUGGUUCAUACAAAGAAAUUCCAAGAAGAGCUUGAUCCAGCUACAGCCUAUACCAGAAACAAACCUGCAAACUUCUUCCUCUAUGUAUACCAAGGAAACAGAGAGUGCUUUUAUGGUGUAAUGGAAAAUACUGCAACAUUUGCCUCAGUUAAUGAUAACAUUUGCUAAGAAUCUAGGAAUACAAACAGUACAUUUCAGCCCACACAACCAGGAUUAUGCAGUCCACUUAUCCUGAUUAGCAAGGAUCCUAUGUUCCUAUUCUGUGGUCUAAUCUAUUUCAUCUGUCCCCACUGAGCUUCAUUUCCCAUUUUAAAACCAUCCAACCAGCUUAUCUUUCCACAUGGCUGAAAGAAUAUUAAAGAGGGGGCCAGAGGUACUUUGACUUUUGAACUGAGUCAAUGUAGGCAAAAAACAAUUUCUGAGAAAAUUACAAUUAAGCAUUUUCAGUGUUAUCUUGUUUUCACCCUGAAUUUCACUGGAUCUGAGAAUCUUCCUUUAAUCUUGUUUAUGUGGAAAUUUUCUAGCUUUUCCCCAUCAGAAGCGAUUUUUCUAAGAGAAGGCAAUUAGAAUCUACAUAGUUCAUGUAGCCUAGUCAGGAAUCUUUUAUGACACUUCCAAACUGGAAUGAAACUAGAUCUGUGCCUCCAAUAUCAAAUUCUCUUUGAAUUCAUAAUAAUACCAAAAUAGGAAACAAACAGGUGUUAACAUCAAGAAAGCUAUUUGACCUGUAAACAGUUUUUAGAACGCUUAACCUAUUCCAAAUAAUUAUUCUGAAUAUGAGAUGAAAAGAUUCAGCAAUACCUAUAAGGAGGAAUGCUUGGUGAAAAUGGUAGAACUUGGUGAGAUGGCCAAAUUGACUUCUUUGUUCAGAAAAAUCACAGUACCCACAUUUAUUGCUGAUUGGAAGCCCCUUGUGGACUUUUUAUGUAAAACAGAAAAAGAUUAUCUUAUGAUUUAUGAUUUUAACGAUUAGACAGAAUAGAUUAUAGAAAGAAGAGUGUCAUGAUGCAACUUUACAGAAAGAGGUAAAUUUAUAAUUGUAUAGUUGCUAAAAAGAAGAUUGAAAGCUACUUCUUUGUAUCUUUUUUCUUUUCUAUUUUUUUGUGUCUGUUUGCUUUCUUUCUUGCACUUUUAGCUUUCUUUUGAUUUCUUCCUUUUUUGUUUUCUUCCUUAUACUAGUUUGCAUUGGUUUUUGUCUUUAUUUUUAAACGUUUUAAUAAAAUUGUUUUAAAAAAUGAAUAUGUGGAAAUCCAUACACAUUCCCUUAGUUUCCAAGAGAGGAAGGUUAAAAAUAACAAAAUAUCCAAACCAGUGAUGAUACUCUGGUGUCUAUCUAGAUAUAAUAUAAUCAGUACUUGGUAUGGUUUAGUUACCACAUAAUAGACUAAAAAUUUUCAUUUCUAAAAGCUUUUAUUCCAGAAAUAGGAUUGAAUGUGUAUUUGUCAGCAUACCCAUUCUCUGGCCAGACAAAAUAAUGUUAAAGCCAAGUUUUUAAGAGGUACAUCAUGCCUCAUAUUAGAAGAAUUUUGCUGCAUCACUAAGCAUAUUGCUUUUGCCAUCUAGCUUGCAGAACUUUAGAUGUAAAGGUGGGUGAUUAUUACCCAUACAAUUUGCAGUGGUUUCUUAUGAUCAUAGAGAUAUAGUCAGAUUGUUAAAAUGCUUGUGAUUUACUAGUAUAGUAUUUUUUUAUGAUACGGGAAAUGUAAAAUACUGGGAUGAUUUAAAUGUAUGAAAUGUUUUGCAUAUUUAAAUAUAAUCAAUUUUGAGAAAAUUAUAAUUGACAAGAAAUGUUUUGAUUACUGAGGGAAAAUUAAGCUUAAAUAAGAAUUCUGAAAAUAGGACUAUAGCGAUUUACAUAAGGUGAUUUUUUUGCAAAUGCAAUUGUAAAAUAAACUGAUUUGAAAAGACGCUACAUAUUGAUGCUAUUGUUAUUCAUAUAAAUAUUAGAAAAAUCUUUAUAUUCAACUUUAUAUGUAUUGAAAAUACUAAGAACUAUAUUUGCUCAAUGUUGGUAAAAGGAGAAUAUUAUUGGAAGAAGAGAAGAUCAAGGAAAGGUAUUUCUAGUUAGUAUGUUGAUUAUGAAAUCAUAGAAAUUAACUGUUAUUGAUUGUUGUUAAGUAUAUAAACCCAGACAACACAUUGUUUACCAAGUACUAAAUAUUGUUAUUGUAAAAAAACCAAUAAAACAUAUUUAAAAAGGUUGUUAAAAUAAACACCCUCUACAACUUUAUUCAUUCAUGCACAGCAACAUGAAAUGGAAUUAAAUAAAUAAAGAUAAGACUUUUCCCUGAAUGCUGCAAAAAAAGGGGGAAAAGAGCAGACAUACAAUAUUUAACUACAUCUAUAAGAACAGACACUUCACUGCCGCUAUAAAAAUGUGCAGUUUUUCUACUUUGAAAUAUAAGCUAGUGACAAGAUAGGUGGUAUUUUAAGUCCAUAGUAUUGGUUUUACUCUUAUAAAGCCAUCAUCAAUUUUCUAUUUGACGACAAGGAAACAAAUCUGCGACCACAUCCAUCUAGUUUAAUUUCUUUAGUAAAUCAAGUGGCUUUUUUUAAAUGAACCAUGUAAGAAAACCUAGUAGUUAAAAGAAAAAGAAAAAAAGAAUUGAAGGUGCAGGGAAAAUUGUGGCAAGUGUGAAUAACUCUGCUUAUUCUAUUUACUUUUUGAACAGGAAUAAGGAAGUAAGUUCUUCAACACUGUCAUUGUUUAUUUACAAAGUCAUCUCAGGGGAAACAAAAUCACGCAGCAACUUGAACCAUUCAAUCCACAAAUACACUGCACGCUACUGAACACCAUUCAGAGUAAUCUCAACUGCAUUUUCCUUAAAAUAUCAUUAAAAAUAGUUUUUUUUCAAACUGAGCUCAAUCCCAAAGUAACUUCAUGGACACAGUCAUGCAGUUUCCUUUGUAAAACAAUGAAAAUGGCUUGCCAUGGUCCACUUCAUGAUGUUUCUUGCUUUUCUAGGUUGGCCCACAACUUUGUUAUACUCCCUGAUUAGUCCCCCAUCCAAGUAGGAACCCGUGGUGCCUCAGACAAGGUCAGCCAGGUGCUGCUACCUCGUGAGAGUCAAUGUCUUCAGGGAUAGAUAAGUUCCUUUAUAAUGAGAUGUAAUACACAGGACACAAGAAGUGUUGGUGAGAUUUAAUAUAGUACUAAAAACUAAAAAGCUCAUUUAACUCAGUUAAAUUUAUUUAACUCAGGCAGUAGAUGGUGCUGAUAUAUUUUUAGAUGCUAUUCUCAGUGGCAUCUACCCCAACCUUUUUUUCACAUUGGAAAAAAAAACUUUAAAAAUUAAAAAGAAAGGCUACAAAUCUAAGUUCUGGCCUCCAUCAUUAAUUUUAUUCCCAGAAAUGUUUUGUAUCCCAUUAGCUUUUUCAGAAAAUGAAAUAAUAGGCAACUGAAGCCUAGAACUUUGGUUGGAAACAUGGCCAUUUGCUCAGAAAAAAGGAUAAAAUUAAGCAGAGAAAAUAGAGAAUAUCAUACAGGAGAGAGGGACAGUGAUGAUGUCAGGUGGCAUUCUGAUAAGUCUGUGUUGGUUAUGUCCCCCAUGCAACUAAUUUUGUAAAUCAACAAAUCCUUCUCCGUAGCCAAGAUAUUACACAGGAGGUAAUUUGAAUAUUCAACAUGGUUAUUACUAUGUGAGCUAAUUAGGGCAAAAUCUGAUAACCCAGUUUGAAAAGCCAGUAUAUCUUUUAGCUAUAUUUGAGCCAACUAUUUGUUCAGUUCUGGUUACUCUAUUUAAAAUAUUAGGUAGUAGAGUCAAAAAAGUACAGCUUAUAGCUCAGACAUCAGAGGAUAUGAUAAAAGGUAGCUGAAAAUACCUAGCCCGCACUAGGUUGGGUAAAUUAGGCUGUAGGCUGACAUUUGCUGGGAUUAGAAAAAAAUAUUAUUCAGGAAGGAGAGCGUGAUAAGAGAUUUAAAGAAUUAUACGGUUUACAGAAAAUGCAUACAGAUAUGACCCUUUUUAUCUCAUAUGAUAAUAGAACUUCAGAUCAUCUAACAAAAUUGAUUAGCAAUAGAGCUGGGAUAAAAAAAAUGCAUAAGUAAUAAUCUAUGUGAUGCCAACUCUCAGCGUACAAAGCUAAUGCUAGCACUGAGAGGUUAAGCGAGCUCAUUAACUAAUACUAAUUUAUUAUACUUAUGUUCUAUCUUUGUUGCAGAGCAUGCAUAGUUUCUUCCUCACUUUUAUUCUUACAUUAAUCACUUUAGAAAGAUUAAUUCUGGAAAGCAAAAGUUUGGAAUAGUUAACGUUUACUCAUACUCAGCAAUUUUUUUUAUUUUCUCAUGCUGAUUCCAUAUUCUAUACAAGCUAAAUCUCUAACCUGUAUAGAUUAAGCACCACAACUAUACUAUCUUUGACAUAGUUAUUUACCUUUUCUAUAGACAUUUCCUGUACUUCUAGCUAUUUCUAAUACUGCUACUAUAUCCUUUUCUAAUAGACUUACAUGGUAAGAUAAGUUUUAUAGCAACUGAAGCAUUCACUUUGGAAGAGAAACAUGAUUUUAAAUACUCAGUGAGCCAUAAAGAUUUACUCAGUAGCUUUAGGCAAGUCAUUAUGUCUAAUCUACAAUAAUAAUGCCUGGCUGCUUGAAAAAAAGGGCAGGAUAGAAGUGCAUUGCCUCCUACCCCACUUCAGAUAAUCAGAAAAUACAUCACUGAUGAAAGUGCUUGUAUCUUAAAAUGUUUGCAGAUUAUAUAUUGCUCCCUCAUUUAUUUAUAUUGCAAUUGUUGUUUUUAUUAUUUUUGUAAUGUUAAUUGGCCAACCAAAUUACAACUAUUUUUUUUGUUAAUUUCAACAAAAGGCUCUUAUCACCAAAAUUAUUACAUAACCUAAAAUUUCAGAAAUAUAAACAAAGCAGUCAUAUGUAUAAAUUCAAAGUACAUAUAUCCAACGUUAAAUAUUUAUUAGUGAACAGAAAGAGUACUAGCCUACAUUUUUACUAGCAUACCUAAUCCAUCAAUCUACAGUACUCUCUUUACAGAAAAGGGCAACAUUUUUAUUACAUCAAGAGAGGGUAUUUUUGUGUGGUGUUUUACUCAUGGAAUGUUAUGAAAAAAAAACACUAUUAUUCUGUACCUGGUAUUAUGGCGGUAAUAAACAAUGACUUGAUACUAUUCUCAUAAUUGCAAGUACAAGGAUUAGCAAGAGCUCUGGAGAUUAUUUUUUUUAAUUGUUAACUGCUGCAAUGAGCCUCAAGAAUAGGAACAAAGUUAUAAGUAGUUUGGUUCAAAUAUGUUUGUUUAAAAUAUGGCUAUAUCAAAGUAGAAUAUCAGUACUCAAAUAUUUUAAGUAUUUUCUUGACCUAUAGGCUCAAAGAAUAAUCUUCACUUAAGGCACUCUGAACAAUCUGCACAGAUAAUUAUGGUAUUGAGAAAGAAUUAAAUCUAAUUCCAGACAGCCUCUAUGUGUCAAAUUUAGGUAGUUUUGCCUUUGGGAAGCACAGUGCUAAUAACUGACCAUAUCAAUGACUAUUUUUUUUUUGUCUCCAGUUUCUGUCAACAGUUGCUUACAAUAGGCAAAGUUAACAAUUUACCACAACAGCAUAAUUUAAAGCUAACACACAGCAGUGUUGACUGCUCUUGCUCUUGCUUUGAGAAGUAAUCUAGGAUAAUUCAUGUUUGAACAGGUAAGACCGAGUGCCAGGAGAUAAUGAAAGAACAUUCAUAAGACAUAUUUUAGAUGAUUGAAUAGGACUACACUUCCCACCUUCAUCAAACUCUGAUAAUCUAACUCAUCUGGAGAGAACAUUAAUUUCAUAGAUUUUGGAAACCAGGCUAUUAUUCCUAAUAUAAUAUGAUGAGAAGCCAGUCAUGGUUUUUGUACUGAAUGAAUAAUUGUAAUGAAUUGGGAACUCUAAUAAAUUGAGUACAUUCCCAUAUCCCUUAAUUGUAUUUGGUUGGCCAUAUAGAGAUGAUGAGAAACAACUGAGUAACAUUAUCCCAGACACACCUGAUGGGAACUUUUCUCAUGAACUCACUUCUGCAUAAAUAUUGUUAGACUGGGGUAGAAAGUCAGUAAUAUAUAAAGUAAUUCUCUAAGGUGCUGUGAUAAAUCAUAAACAUGGAGAGACAGAAAUUUUGCUGUCCUACCAAGAAAUUAUUUCAGCACUCUCCAAAUAUUUUGGAUUGCAAUUCUUGAUACCCCCAGUCAAAUAUUGCUUUUAGCCAUGCAUUCUAAAUCAUGAUGGAUAUACAUAAAAAGAAUGACUGCCAUUAAGGCAACCUAACCCAUUAUAAUCAAGCUUCUAUCUUCUGCAAACUGAAAAAAAUAAAUAAAUCUUCUCGACCUAAGUCACAACCCCCUUCAAAACAAAUUAUAUAACAAGAUGAUUACUAAGUUUUAAGAUACAUAAGGGAUUAAGUAUAAGUGCUACCUGUUGCAAAAUUAGUAGCUGGCUUUGUGCAUGGUGCUCUUUAUUGGAAUCUGGCACAGGAGUUUUCAAUGACAUACCAAUAGAAAAGCAAAAACAUAUUUAAGCUUCCCCUAUAUUAAAAGAACUGUUAUUCAAACAUCUGUUUUCUUUCUAUUGUACUUAUUAGCAGCAUUGCUUUGAUACAAAUACAACCUAUUGGCAUCUUUAUCCCAUAAAUUUGUUUUAGAUGUUUCUAGAACACAUAAUUUUAUGUACUUGUAAUUAUAUUUUGUAACUCUCAUUAAACCGUUUGAAUAUGUUUUUCUGUCCCUAAACAGCAAACCCAAACAAUGCUAUUAUUAAAUGGAAAAAACUACAUACACGUUAAAUUGAUAUAGAAACAGUUGCUUUUACCUUGUUUUUUUUUUACAGUAGAAUUAUAUCUGUUUGAGAAAGGAAAUAGCCAAAGUGAAAGUAUAGAAACAUUGAGUUUCAAAUGUAAUGAAGUAUACGACCUGCUCUUUAGCAAAUCCCACUCUAUUUUUCUUGUUUAUUCCAUUCAAACUCUAUUUAGGAUUACAUAUUUACUCUGGUUGCUUUUGUAAGCAUCGCAUUCUUUUCUAUUUUUUGGACAACGGAUAAAAUCUUGGUUUCUCUUAACAUUUGGUCUAAUUAAUUCACAAUAGGGCUUAUUCAGUAAUAAAUAUGACAUUGGACAGAACCUUUUUGAUGUACAGUAUGAUCCAAGAUUCAGUUUUUAAGCUAAUAUGUAUCUUGUAUUUCCAUACUGUAUUUAAAAUUACGAUAUUAAUUCCCAAUUCAUGGCUAUAUUCUGAACGUGUUAUUUGGAAAAAUUUUUUUAAAACAGCAGAACUUGAUUGCAAAAAGUUCUGUAAAUUAAGUUUUAAUUUGAAAUAAAAAGCCAUCUAAUUUAAGAUUACAUUGCCCAUUGAAAACAUCCAAAAAGCUUCCAUUUCCUAUUUUUGGUCCCAGCAACUUAUAUACUUAUCUUUGCAAUAAUUGACCAAUUUUUCCUCCAGAAGUCAUCUAUUGCACCUAUUUUUUUUGAAAGCCAUGAAGCUAGUGAUUAUCACCCCAUUGUACAGCUGUAAAUUCCAUUGUUACUUUCUUACUACCCCAUAAAAGCUAAUAGGGGCACAAGAGCUAUUUACUAGCCCAUUAAAUGAUAACUAUCAGAUGGUCAUAUCUGUUACAUCAAAAGAGAGAGAUCAUUUUCCUAAAAUCUUUAUCUGUUCAACUCUUCUUCCUCUCCACAGCUGAGUGGCCAAAUUCCUUACAUAGGUAUCACUUUCAGAGUGUUAUGAGGGAUUGACUUUCAAAUAAGCAUACAUAAAAUAGCAGACUGAAUUGCUUAUUUCCACCAUUGAUUGACAGGGUCUGUAGCAAACACUAGAUAGUCUUUCCUGGAAAAUGGGGAAAACCUUGCAUUUCACUGUUAGGCCACGAUAUACUUACCAACAACAGAUUGUUCUCUGUGGAAGUACCAGAGGAUAAACAAAUGCAAAGAACUAAACAUGAAGGAUCCAUCCAAGCUCUAGGGACUGGAUAUUUAUUAUUGUUCAUUUCCACUCCUGAACUUACUUUUUAAAAAGCAAAAUAGUGUGUACUAAUUCUAAUUUAUCACACACCUUGCAGGAAUGAAGUCAGGCAGUAAGGCAAAAGGAUAUAAAUACUGCAAACAUUACAGCACCGAGGUGAGAAAAUACACAAUUCAUAUUUAUUCU
This is a long non-coding RNA of Crotalus tigris (Tiger rattlesnake), 8649 nucleotides long. RefSeq lists it as uncharacterized. The transcript has 4 exons. Lineage: Eukaryota; Metazoa; Chordata; Lepidosauria; Squamata; Viperidae. The record is from RefSeq and is a predicted model, not a curated record.